AAAAUCCAAUAUUGGAGUUUAUCACCAUCCACCGGCAUGAACGAGCGGGUCUAAACGCGUCGAAGGACGGUAUUGCGCGAGGAGAUGCAAUACCCGGCUUUCACCAAAUCUCCAGAAGUCGAAUUUCAAUCCUGACGGAAUUUUUUUCGAAUGAUAACAUAUAAUCCACUGACAAUUGAAGCUAUCCUUGGAAUGCCGAUGAUCCUUCAGCUAAAAAAAAUUAUUUCCAUCGAACUCCAACAACGCGUGCGAAAUUCAUUCAAUUCAAUUCAACUGUCUGCACUUGAUAAUCGUUAUCUACUUAUUUACAUCCGUUUUGAAUGAGAAUUGAGAACCUAACGAGAUCCAUUGGCUCCCGGGUGACUAUUGCGGACUAUUUCUACUCUAAGAUGUUUCGUUUUCUGAGAACAAUCGUUGAAUGACGAAUACAAAUGUUGUGGCUGUACGUGCAAGCUAGUCGGGCAGUGGCAAUAAGCUCUCAGUAUAUAUAAUCGCAUUGUACAUGGAGAGAGACGACAGGAGCGCAGCGUGACACUGUCGAUUGGUGUAGGUCAAGAACGACUCUGCACUCGUGAUAUGGGACUGGGGUAACGCCACCAGUAGCCGGGCGCUCCCAGAAAUUUACAACUUUCCCGGGGGAAUAAAAGUAUGGGAAUGUGAAUGAGGAAACUGAGUGGAGAGCAGAAGGCAAGUUGGACAAGGUGGAGAUGCGGGAGUGCACUGAUAGGGACAAGGACCAGUGCAGGGCCUCUGGAGAGAAAAAAAAAUACUGGGGCAUACCGUGGGGUACGAGGUACUGAGGAAAAGGCUAAAGGUUAAGAGCUCGUGGAAAAUAUGGCGCCGGGACUGUAGCAGAAGGUAUUAGAGGGAGAGGAUGGUGGAGCUGCUGAGGACACCAGGCAGGACAGCGCGUGGCAGACUGGGAAGAGUG
Long non-coding RNA from Diachasmimorpha longicaudata, 931 nucleotides. RefSeq lists it as uncharacterized. NCBI's taxonomy places the organism in Eukaryota, Metazoa, Arthropoda, Insecta, Hymenoptera, Braconidae. The record is from RefSeq and is a predicted model, not a curated record. The transcript has 3 exons.